CAUGGCUUGUGUCAAUGGGCCGACUGUCAUCUUAGAAACGUCUUUCUUGCCAAGAGCCAUAAAUAAUGCCGCCAAACUCUGAAAAGGAGAAUCCACACACCCUCCCCUACAAGGUGAUGAAUAUUAUGAAUCUGCAAAUUGAAUAUUUAAUGACUCAAGUUUACCUAUAUAUUUCAUCUAAUAGAUGAAGCGCAGCCUCUCUGCCAAGAUCUUCUGGUACGCAAGGAUAUCAAUUCAUAUUAUGGAAAACAUAAUAAACGUACCAGGAGAUUUCCCGCUAGAUGCACCACGGGUCUGAUCCGUGUGAAUGUAAACGUCUGGCAAGAAUUUAAGCAGAACUCCUUUGGCAGAUUCAACCAUUCUGUUAGCAAUUGCUGGGGAAACACGAAUGGAACAUGCCACUCCCCUAACUCGUUUAACCAUUCCACAAUCCUGGAGC
This 439-nucleotide unclassified non-coding RNA is filed under the name Athalia rosae (coleseed sawfly). Its description in RNAcentral is "misc RNA ENSAEAG00005005832.1". Lineage: Eukaryota; Metazoa; Arthropoda; Insecta; Hymenoptera; Athaliidae. The record is from RNAcentral.